CCAGACUCCUACGGGAGGCAGCAGUGGGGAAUAUUGCACAAUGGGGGAAACCCUGAUGCAGCGACGCCGCGUGAGUGAAGAAGUAUUUCGGUAUGUAAAGCUCUAUCAGCAGGGAAGAAAAUGACGGUACCUGACUAAGAAGCCCCGGCUAACUACGUGCCAGCAGCCGCGGUAAUACGUAGGGGGCAAGCGUUAUCCGGAUUUACUGGGUGUAAAGGGAGCGUAGGUGGCAUGGUAAGCCAGAAGUGAAAACCCAGGGCUCAACUCUGUGGAUUGCUUUUGGAACUAUCAAGCUAGAGUGCUGGAGGGGUAAGCGGAAUUCCUAGUGUAGCGGUGAAAUGCGUAGAUAUUAGGAGGAACACCGGUGGCGAAGGCGGCUUACUGGACAGAAACUGACACUGAGGCUCGAAAGCGUGGGGAGCAAACAGGAUUAGAUACCCCUGUA
This 445-nucleotide ribosomal RNA is filed under the name uncultured bacterium. RNAcentral's name for it is "bacterial SSU rRNA". It matches the Rfam family "Bacterial small subunit ribosomal RNA", at positions 331 to 792 of the family's 1533-position model. The record is from RNAcentral.